This 293-nucleotide unclassified non-coding RNA is filed under the name uncultured fungus. RNAcentral describes it as "partial contains small subunit ribosomal RNA, internal transcribed spacer 1, and 5.8S ribosomal RNA". The stretch from base 1 to 73 matches the Rfam family "Eukaryotic small subunit ribosomal RNA", at positions 1759 to 1831 of the family's 1831-position model. The record is from RNAcentral. Lineage: Eukaryota; Fungi.
UCAAACUUGGUCAUUUAGAGGAAGUAAAAGUCGUAACAAGGUUUCCGUAGGUGAACCUGCGGAAGGAUCAUUACAGAGUUCAUGCCCUCCGGGGUAGACCUCCUACCCGUGUGUACUUAUCACCAAUUGUUGCUUUGGCGGGCCGUACGCCUGGCUUACCCGGGAGGUUUUCCCGGUGCGCCCGCCAGAGGACCUCUGAAACUUCUAGGUAUUAGUGUUGUCUGAGCAAAUACAGAAUAGUUAAAACUUUCAACAACGGAUCUCUUGGUUCUGGCAUCGAUGAAGAACGCAGC